Molecule: long non-coding RNA, 111 nt
Organism: Poecilia latipinna (sailfin molly)
Lineage: Eukaryota; Metazoa; Chordata; Actinopteri; Cyprinodontiformes; Poeciliidae
Exons: 2
Source: RefSeq, a predicted model, not a curated record
GACUUCUGCCAGUUUCCAUCAGUCCAACAUCAGGACAUGGCUGAGACCCACAACAUGAUGCUGAUGGAGGUCUUCCCACCCUACUGUUCAUUCCUUAACCCCACUCAGGAA